Long non-coding RNA from Oncorhynchus keta (chum salmon), 6367 nucleotides. RefSeq lists it as uncharacterized. The record is from RefSeq and is a predicted model, not a curated record. The transcript has 3 exons. NCBI's taxonomy places the organism in Eukaryota, Metazoa, Chordata, Actinopteri, Salmoniformes, Salmonidae.
AAAGUAUUCAUACCCCUAGACUUUUUCCACGUUUUGUUGUGUUACAGCCUGAAUUGAAAAUGGCUUGGUUUUUGCUCUGACAUGCAUUGUCAGCUGUGGGAACUUUUAUAGACAGGUGUGUGCUUUUCCAAAUCAUGUCCAUCAAUUGAAUUUAACACAGAUGGACAGACAGAAGCCACUCCUCAGUAAAAGGUACAUGACAGCCUGCUUGGAGUUUGCCAAAAGGCACCUGAUCUGAUGAAACCAAAAUUGAACUCUUUGGCCUAAAUGUCAAGUGUCACAUCUGGAGGAAACCUGGCACCAUCCCUAUGGUGAAGCAUGGUGGUGGCAGCAUCAUGCUGUGGGGAUGUUUAUCAGCGGCAGGGACUAGGAGACAAGUCAGGAUCAAGGGAAAGGUGAACAGAGCAAAGUACAGAGAGAUCCUUGAUGAAAACCUGCUCCAGAGCAUUCAGGGCCUCAGACUGGGGCGGACCUUCACCUUCCAACAGGACAACAACCCUAAGCACACAGCCAAGACAAUGCAGGAUUGGCUUCGGGACAAGUCUCUGAAUGUCCUUGAGUGGCCAAGCCAGAGCCCGGACUUGAACCUGAUCGAACAUCUCUGGAGAGACCUGUAAAUAGCUGUGAAGCAACACUCCCCAUCCAACCUGACAGAGCUUGAGUGGAUCUGCAGAGAAGAAUAGGAAAAACUCCCCAAAUACAGGUGUGCCAAGCUUGUAGCGUCAUACCCAAGAAGACUCAAGCAUGUAAUCACUGCCAAAGGUGCUUCAACAAAGUACUGAGUAAAGGGUCUGAAUACUUAUGAAAAUGUAAUAUUUCAGUUGCAAAAAUGUAUAAAAACCUGUUUUUCCUUGUCAUGAUGGGGUAUUGUGUGUAGAUUAAAGAGGGAAAAACAUGUAUUAAUCAAUUUUAUAAUAGGGCUGUAAUGUAACAAAAUGUGAGAAAAGUCAAGGGGUCUGAAUACUUUCCAAAUGCACUGUAUAUGUCAUUUCCGCCACACCCAGGUGGUAAUGAGUAUACUAUGUAUAAUUUAUAUUGAUUAAUUUGUUGUAGAUAGGGAAAUAGAUAUGAUUGUUGUAAUAAACUCACAAAAAAAGGUUAUGUGGAAAUAUUUUAUUUUUCAUGACAAAUAAAUGUUUUCAGCUGUCACAAAGGAAAGUUUAUACAUUCAGGGGUCAUGUUGAAUUAUUAAUAUUAGGAAAACCUUAAAAAUCACUUAAAAUAAUAUUCAAUACAAGUUAACGUACAAAUAUAUAAGAAAUGUGUUAUAAAUAAAUUGUAUGAUAUUUCAUUUUCAACUAAAAAUUGAUGUUUAAUGACGUGAUGGAAAUUACAUGUGUCUAUGGCUAUCUGCGGAACAUGACAGAAAUAUAUGAAUUCCUGAAUAGUACAAUCGCAGCCAUUAUUGAAAAGAUCAUGAUUAUGAGAAAGCAAAUUACGGACUCCUCUUUAAAUCUGCGUAUUCCUUCAAAGCUCAGUUGUCCUGAGUCUGCACAACUCUGCCAGGACCUAGGAUCAAGAGAGACGCUCAAGUGUUUUAGUACUAUAUCUCUUGACAUAAUGAUGAAAAUAAUCAUGGCCUCUAAACCUUCAAGUUGCAUACUGGACUCUAUUCCAACUAAACUACUGAAAGAGCUGCUUCCUGUGCUUGACCCUCCUAUGUUGAAGCCUCUCUUGAAAAAGCCAAACCUUGACCCAGAAAAUAGAAAAAACUAUCGGCCUAUAUCGAAUCUUCCAUUCCUCUCAAAAAUUUUAGAAAAGGCUGUUGCGCUCACUGCCUUCCUGAAGACAAACAAUGUACACGAAAUGCUUCAGUCUGGUUUUAGACCCCAUCAUAGCACUGAGACUGCACUUGUGAAGGUGGUAAAUUACCUUUUGAUGGCAUCAGACCGAGGCUCUGCAUCUGUCCUCGUGCUUCUAGACCUUAGUGUUGCUUUUGAUACCAUCGAUCACCACAUUCUUUUGGAGAGAUUGGAAACCCAAAUUGGUCUACACGGACAAGUUCUGGCCUGGUUUAGAUCUUAUCUGUCUGUUCCUCAAGGUUCCGUUUUAGGACCACUAUUGUUUUCACUAUAUAUUUGACCUCUUGGGGAUGUCAUUCGAAAACAUAAUGUUAACUUUCACUGCUAUGCGGAUGACACACAGCUGUACAUUUCAAUGAAACAUGGUGAAGCCCCAAAAUUGCCCUCGCUAGAAGCAUGUGUUUCAGACAUAAGGAAGUGGAUGGCUGCAAACUUUCUACUUUUAAACUUGGACAAAACAAAGAUGCUUGUUCUAGGUCCCAAGAAAGAAAGAGAUCUUCUGUUGAAUCUGACAAUUAAUCUUAAUGGUUGUACAGUCGUCUCAAAUAAAACUGUGAAGGACCUCGGCGUUACUCUGGACCCUGAUCUCUCUUUUGAAGAACAUAUCAAGACCAUUUCAAGGACAGCUUUUUUCCAUCUAUGUAACAUUGCAAAAAUCAGAAACUUUCUGUCCAAAAAUGAUGCAGAAAAAUUAAUCCAUACUUUUGUCACUUCUAGGUUAGACUACUACAAUGCUCUACUUUUUUUAAAUCACUAAAUAAACUUCAGUUAGUGCUAAAUACGGCUGCUAGAAUCCUGACUAGAACCAAAAAAUGUAAUCAUAUUACUCCAGUGCUAGCCUCCCUACACUUGCUUCCUGUCAAGACAAGGGCUGAUUUCAAGGUUUUACUGCUAACCUACAAAUCAUUACAUGGGCUUGCUCCUACCUAUCUCUCUGAUUUGGUCCUGCCGUACAUACCUACACGUAUGCUACGGUCACAAGACGCAGGCCUCUUAAUUGUCCCUAGAAUUUCUAAGCAAACAGCUGGAGGCAGGGCGUUCUCCUAUAGAGCUCCAUUUUAAUGGAAUGGUCUGCCUACCCAUGUAAGAGACGCAAACUCGGUCUCAACCUUUAAGUCUUUACUGAAGACUCAUCUCUUCAGUGGGUCAUAUGAUUUAGUGUAGUCUGGCCCAGGAGUGGGAAGGUGAACGGAAAGGCUCUGGAGUAACGAACCACCCUUGCUGUCUCUGCCUGGCCAGUUCCCCUCUUUCCACUGGGAUUCUCUGCCUCUCACCCUAUUACAGGGGCUGAGUCACUGGCUUACCGGGGCUCUUUCAUACCGUCCCUGGGAGGGGUGCGUCACUUGAGUGGGUUGAGUGAUCUUCCUGUCUGGGUUGGCACCCCCCCCUUGGGUUGUGCCGUGGCGGAGAUCUUUGUGGGCUAUACUCGGCCUUGUCUCAGGAUGGUAAGUUGGUGGUUGAAGAUAUCCCUCUAGUGGUGUGGGGGCUGUGCUUUGGCAGAGUGGGUGGGGUUAUAUCCUUCCUGUUUGGCCCUGUCCGGGGGUGUCCUCGGAUGGGGCCACAGUGUCUCCUGACCCCUCCUGUCUCAGCCUCCAGUAUUUAUGCUGCAGUAGUUUGUGUCGGGGGCUAGGGUCAGUUUGUUAUAUCUGGAGUACUUCUCCUGUCCUAUUCGGUGUCCUGUGUGAAUUUAAGUGUGCUCUUUCUAAUUCUCUCUUUCUCUCUUUCUUUCUCUCUCUCGGAGGACCUGAGCCCUAGGACCAUGCCUCAGGACUACUUGACAUGAUGACUCCUUGCUGUCCCCAGUCCACCUAGCUGUGCUGCUGCUCCAGUUUCAACUGUUCUGCCUUAUUAUUAUUGGACCAUGCUGGUCAUUUAUGAACAUUUGAACAUCUUGGCCAUGUUCUGUUAUAAUCUCCACCUGGCACAGCCAGAAGUGGACUGGCCACCCCACAUAGCCUGGUUCCUCUCUAGGUUCCUUCCUAGGUUUUGGCCUUUCUAGGGAGUUUUUCCUAGCCACCGUGCUUCUACACCUGCAUUGCUUGCUGUUUGGGGUUUUAGGCUGGGUUUCUGUACAGCACUUUGAGAUAUCAGCUGAUGUACAAAGGGCUAUAUCAAUGAAUUUGAUUUGAUUUGAUUAUCAGAUAUUGUUUCUCGGCAAAUCAAAGACAAAUAUAAUACUGGAAAAGGGGUUUUUCAAUGACUUUUCAUUUCUGAAAGCUUGCAAGGCCAAAGUGCCCGAAGUUGCAGAAUCGCCCAUUUACUGUACAUAUGAAAUGUCUUCUUGCAUCCUUUGAAUUAGUGCUGGCUGCAUUCAUAUGCCGCGCAUUGUUGACACGUUGACUGUUUUAAUAUGGGCAUCUUGUUUUUCCCUUAUUCACUUCCAUUAAUCAAAGCCCUGAAAGGGAGGAGUAUGACAAUAACGGCCCGCUUCAGAGGCUCUUAUUGGCCAAGACAUAGCGUCAGCUAUCCAGGGUUUAUAUACACCAUUGGGAGACAAAUUGUCAAAUAUGACAUCCAUCUCGCCUGGAGGAUGUGUCAUAAUACCAAUAAAACCGAGCAGUCAAACACGAAAAUUGUCCCAAUGGUGAAUUUUACAAACACUUUAAAUUAAGUAUGUGUUUGGUGUUGGCUUACCUUGGGGUGGGGUUUUGAUAACCGCGUAAUUCCCUCUCGGACAAGGUGAGUUUUAUCAAUACAUUUGCCUCAAUUUACUAAACAAAAAAUAAACGCUAAUUAGCAACAGAGAAGACCUCAGCAAUACGACAAACUACUACGGGAAGCUACUGCACGUCAUCUCUCGUUGACGCCGUCAGCUACCAUUCACCAGCAGGAUCAAAGACCGCGUGUCCAAUCCAUGAUGAAUCCAUGCGCUGUAUUGAAAUUAAUUGAAUAAAUUGUUGAACUUCUUCCGUACCUUUUCUCUGUUUUAACUAGCCACUGACUACACUUCAGCUAGCUAGUUAACAGAGCAGUAGUUAGCGGAGCUAGUUAGACCACUACAACUUACUGCUUUGGUCAGGGCCAGCAUGAGGGAUACAGUUUAUCCUGUGUCGAUCUCUAUAGUUGACCAGGGGAUUCUCUCUACCACAUGUGAAUGCCUCCAUGGAGCUUAUCAGUGUAGCCAUGCAGCCUAUUUUGGAGGUUCACAAUAUCGGUCAUAUGGGUGUGGAAUGUAAGAGAAGGAAGCCAGCCAUGUCCAACCAGGCUCGAUCUCCACAACUGGAUGCUUGCACUCAAAAAUCACACUGGCACAGCACGUCCACGCACGGGAUGUCCUGAGGACUGGAAAACAAAGAGACAUUUGGUCAGUGGUCGGCCUUUUUCAAUGCUGCAUCAACAUCUUUAUCUGGACAGAAAAUGUAUUGUUUAUCAUAACACAAACCCACCUUGGACAAUGUGGUCCCGUCCCUCAACACCCAAUCCUCAUGCCUCAUUGUUUGUUAUUGUUUCCCAACCAACAGUCUGGAACUUCCUCUUCUGCCAUGGUGGAUGAGUUACCUUUUCUGGUAAAAAAAAAAAAAAACAGGGCCAUUUCUCUCAAUAGAGAUUGCAUCAUUUGUGGAUCUGUUGGGGCGGUAUGCAAAUUGGAGUGGGUCUAGGGUUUCUGGGAUAAUGGAUUGAUGUUUGCCAUAACCAGCCUUUCAAAGCACUUCAUGGCUACAGACGUGAGUGCUAUGGGUCAGUAGUCAUUUAGGCAGGUUAGCUUAGUGUUCUUGGGCACAGGGAUUAUGAUGGUCGGCUUGAAACAUGUUGGUAUUACAGACUCAGUUAGGGACAGGUUGAAAAUUCCAGAACGUUCCGGUGAAGGGAAAUCUUAAUGCUACAGUAUGCAAUGACAUUCUAGACAAUUCUGUACUUCCAACUUUAUGGCAACAGUUUGGGGAAUGCCCUUUCCUGUUUCAGCAUGACAAUGCCCCCGUGCACAAAGCGAGGUCCAUGCAGAAAUGGUUUGUUGAGAUCGGUGUGGAAGAACUUGACUGGCUUGCAUAGAGCCCUGACCUCAACGCCAUUGAACACCUUUGGGAUGAAUUGGAACUCCAACUACGAGCCAGGCCUAAUUGCCCUACAUCAGUGCCCAACCUCACCGAUGCUCUUGUGGCAUCAGUCAGUCCCCGCAGCAAUGUUCCAACUUCUACUGGAAAUCCUUCCCAGAAGAGUUGAGGCUGUUAUAGCAGUAAAUGGGGGACCAACUCUAUAUUGAUUUCCAUGAUUUUGGAAUGAGAUGUUCGACAAGCAGGUGUCCACAUACUUUUGGUCAUGUGGUGCAUGAAGUAGUUCCAAAAUCCCCAACGCAGAAAUGAAUGGUGAAAAAAAACAACGAUUGGAACCAUUUCCAGCUUUUUACCGCUAGGUUUUAUGGGUUAUAUGACUCAUACUGUGGUACUCAAUUUGUGCACUGCAGUCAUGCAAUCGUGAAUAUCCAGACCUCAUUAUGACUAGUCCUACAUGUGUAGCUACUGCAGUUGUUUGACACCGUCAAUAAUUGUACUUCCUGGUGACUGGUAUGCUACUGCCAUCUGCUGGACAUUAUCGCAGCAUCCCUGACAGGUACCAAUGACUGAUUU